Molecule: long non-coding RNA, 566 nt
Filed under: Zostera marina
Lineage: Eukaryota; Viridiplantae; Streptophyta; Magnoliopsida; Alismatales; Zosteraceae
Description: long non-coding RNA (ZMAR_LNC005867)
Source: RNAcentral
AACUUUAUAAAAAAACAAUUCUGAUACAUACAUAGAUUAAAAGAAGAGACAAAUCAGAGCAAAUUUAAACAUACAUAGAUAAGAUGAAGGGCUGAUCGUUUGAUCGACCGAAUCGGAUCAAGAGUACUUGUGCCAACAAAGUAGCAUAGUAACACAAGUUCUCAUGAUAUAAAGCUUCCCUCUUUGUUGCCUCACAACCCUCUUCCACUUCCCGACUCUUCGCCUCCACUCCAUUCCAAGCAAGUUAAGUUCAAGUAGCUAGGUUAACCUGAUCGAUGAUCGGGGCGGCUUAUAUUAUCAAUCUAUGUAUGGAUGUAUCGUCAAUCUAUGUGAAUUGUUGGGGACCAUUGAACUAACCUAUUUCAAGCUUGUGAGUACUACGGCCAUGUCUUUACUUCACAUGUAGAGUAAUUGUCUCUUCGAUUGAUUGAUAGAUAAAUCUAUGUAUGUUACAACUACUUUACCUCAACCAACUAAUGAACUUCAUUAGAAGUUGUCGGAGGGUUUGUCCCCACAUCGGACCCCCACCGCCGGUCAACUUCAUAUAUACAUGUACUACUCGCUUG